Phalaenopsis equestris is the source of this 458-nucleotide long non-coding RNA. RefSeq lists it as uncharacterized. Lineage: Eukaryota; Viridiplantae; Streptophyta; Magnoliopsida; Asparagales; Orchidaceae. The record is from RefSeq and is a predicted model, not a curated record. The transcript is spliced from 4 exons.
UAAAGCCUAAAGGGCUGAUUUCUCUCCCGGCCAUCUUCUCCUCGAACGAACAAUCACAGCUCUCUUCAUCUCUUCUUCAACUACCUUUCAAUUUCGCUGUAGCUAGAAUAGAAAUUCACCUGCAUUUAUGGCCUUCUGCUGAUUCAUCGUCUUCUUUGGCGAACACAACCUACGUGUAGAGAGUGAAAUAGGUUUCUUUGCAACUCAUCUACGUGCUUAAAUUAAAGAUGCCACGCAGCUUUGGCUCCCCUACAAGCUUUCUUGGAGGGAAAAGAUGGUCGGUCUUUAUCAUUAAGAGAGGAAGCAGAAGUCUUUCCCGGGAUAUUCUUCUAUAAGCGGCCAACCUCAGUAUUGGCACCACUUUAUAUGAUAUUUUGUACCCGUUGAAACUCAAGGAGUGGCCCAUCACAUUCCUAGUCAAGAACGAAGGCAUCAGGAUAACAGUAAGAGUCUGGAAC